CUCUUAUUAAGAGUGGUGGAGGGACGUGCCCUAUGAAGCCCGGCAACCGUCAAUGCAAAUUGAAAUGGUGCCAAUUCACUCAAAGCAGACGCUUUGAAAGAUAAGAG
This 107-nucleotide non-coding RNA is filed under the name [Bacillus] enclensis. RNAcentral describes it as "Bacillus enclensis SAM-I sequence". It matches the Rfam family "SAM riboswitch aptamer (S box leader)". From Rfam's summary of the family: The SAM riboswitch is found upstream of a number of genes which code for proteins involved in methionine or cysteine biosynthesis in Gram-positive bacteria. The SAM riboswitch acts at the level of transcription termination control. The predicted structure consists of a complex stem-loop region followed by a single stem loop terminator region. Lineage: Bacteria; Bacillati; Bacillota; Bacilli; Caryophanales; Bacillaceae. The record is from RNAcentral.